GAUGAACGCUGGCGGUAUGCCUAACACAUGCAAGUCGAACGGACUCUUCGGGGUUAGUGGCGGACGGGUGCGUAACGCGUGAGAAUCUGGCUUUGGGUUCGGGACAACCACUGGAAACGGUUGCUAAUACCGGAUGUGCUGAUAGGUAAAAGAGUAAUUGACUGUAGUUGAGCCCGCGUCUGAUUAGCAUGUUGGUGAGGUAAAGGCUCACCAAGGCAGCGAUGAGUAGCUGGUGUGAGAGGAUGACCAGCCACACUGGGGCUGAGACACCGCCCAGACGACUCCGGGAGGAAGCAGUGGGGAAGUAUACGGAAUGGGCGAAGGCAGGACGGAGCAAUACCGCGUGGGGAAAGAAGGAGGUUGGAGUGUAAAAAUGUUUUCUUAGGGAGGAACAUAAUGACGGUACCGAAAGAAUAAGCACCGGCUAACUCCGUG
Molecule: ribosomal RNA, 435 nt
Filed under: uncultured bacterium
Lineage: Bacteria
Description: partial 16S ribosomal RNA
Rfam family: Bacterial small subunit ribosomal RNA
Source: RNAcentral